GAUGAACGCUAGCUACAGGCUUAACACAUGCAAGUCGAGGGGCAGCAUUGGUAUAGCUUGCUAUCCAGAUGGCGACCGGCGCACGGGUGAGUAACGCGUAUCCAACCUUCCCCAUAGUAGGGCACAGCCCGGCGAAAGUCGGAUUAAUUCCCUAUGUUGUCCAGAGAGGACAUCUGACCUGGACGAAAGAUUCAUCGCUAUGGGAUGGGGAUGCGUCUGAUUAGGUUGCAGGCGGGGUAACGGCCCACCUGGCCGACGAUGCCUAGGGGAGCUGAGAGGCUUAUCCCCCACACUGGUACUGAGACACGGACCAGACUCC
This 319-nucleotide ribosomal RNA is filed under the name uncultured Prevotella sp. RNAcentral describes it as "bacterial SSU rRNA". It matches the Rfam family "Bacterial small subunit ribosomal RNA", at positions 28 to 339 of the family's 1533-position model. The record is from RNAcentral. Lineage: Bacteria; Pseudomonadati; Bacteroidota; Bacteroidia; Bacteroidales; Prevotellaceae.